RNAcentral lists this ribosomal RNA (377 nucleotides) under uncultured bacterium. Its description in RNAcentral is "bacterial SSU rRNA". It matches the Rfam family "Bacterial small subunit ribosomal RNA", at positions 523 to 898 of the family's 1533-position model. The record is from RNAcentral.
AGACGUAGGGGGCGAGCGUUGUCCGGAAUCACUGGGCGUAAAGAGCACGUAGGCGGGAUAUUAAGUCAGGUGUGAAAGACCGUGGCUCAACCACGGGGUUGCACUUGAAACUGAUAUUCUUGAGGGCAGGAGAGGACAGUAGAAUUCCUGGUGUAGCGGUGAAAUGCGUAGAAAUCAGGAGGAAUACCGGUGGCGAAGGCGACUGUCUGGACUGACCCUGACGCUGAGGUGCGAAAGCGUGGGUAGCAAACAGGAUUAGAUACCCUGGUAGUCCACGCCGUAAACUAUGGAUACUAGGUGUAGGAGGUAUCGACCCCUUCUGUGCCGCAGCAAACGCAAUAAGUAUCCCGCCUGGGGAGUACGAUCGCAAGGUUGAA